UGUCUAUAUGUAACUUUCAGUUAGUGUUGAUUCUAGCGGCCCCUUUGGACUUAAGCACUAGUGUUUUUACCACACCUGCUGUCGUAAAGCUCUUUUCUUUACGGUGCUGUAUUACCCACUUUAUAUUACCGAGUUAGCGUUACGGGGAGGUCAUAUAGUUGCGAUGAAUGUUUUGCUCGGAUAGAAAGUAUCCCUGUCACUGUGUCACCAGCCAAAGCAUUAAGAGAUUGUUGUAGCAACCAACGUAAAAAUAACUUAGAUUAAUAUAACGCAUUUCAUGAAACCCACGGACGCUCUACAUAAGUAACAUUACAAGGGGACAAGGGAAAAGAAAAUAGUAGGCCAACACAAACACGGAGUAAAAGGAAAAAAACGUUGGCGCUAAAUGGAAGGGGGACGUAAUUUAAUGUCGCCUACUGACAUACAACCACAUCGCACAUUCUAAAGUUCUUUUAUGAAUGAAA
This is a long non-coding RNA of Sander lucioperca (pikeperch), 464 nucleotides long. RefSeq lists it as uncharacterized. The transcript has 2 exons. The record is from RefSeq and is a predicted model, not a curated record. NCBI's taxonomy places the organism in Eukaryota, Metazoa, Chordata, Actinopteri, Perciformes, Percidae.